GACGAACGCUGGCGGCGUGCCUAAUACAUGCAAGUUGAGCGCUGAAGGUUGGUACUUGUACCAACUGGAUGAGCAGCGAACGGGUGAGUAACGCGUGGGGAAUCUGCCUUUGAGCGGGGGACAACAUCUGGAAACGAAUGCUAAUACCGCAUAAAAACUUUAAACACAAGUUUUAAGUUUGAAAGAUGCAAUUGCAUCACUCAAAGAUUAUCCCGCGUUGUAUUAGCUAGUUGGUGAGGUAAAGGCUCACCAAGGCGAUGAUACAUAGCCGACCUGAGAGGGUGAUCGGCCACAUUGGGACCGGGACACGGCCCAAACCCCCUAGGGGAGCAGCAGGAGGGAAUCCUCGGCAAUGGAGGAAAGGCUGGCCGAGCAACGCCGCGUGAGUGAAGAAGGUUUUCGGAUCGGAAAACUCUGUUGGUAGAGAAGAACGUUGGGGGGAGUGGAAGGCUCAUCAAGUGACGGUAACUACUCAGAAAGGGACGGCUAACUACGUG
Molecule: ribosomal RNA, 497 nt
Filed under: uncultured bacterium
Lineage: Bacteria
Description: partial 16S ribosomal RNA
Rfam family: Bacterial small subunit ribosomal RNA
Source: RNAcentral